RNAcentral lists this non-coding RNA (132 nucleotides) under Vitrella brassicaformis. Lineage: Eukaryota; Vitrellaceae. The record is from RNAcentral.
AUGGAUACAACUAAAAUCUUAGUGUGUUUUACCUGUGGAACUCUUUUAGGGGUUGUUUUAUAUGCCGGCUACGCCGCUUUUGGACCAGGUUCGGCAUAUUUAAAAGAUCCGUUUGAGGAACACGAGGAUUAA